CUAUGAAGCUUUAAACUAUAGUAACACCACGGGGUUUUAUUUAGCAACACUGAAGUCGCGGCAUGAUGGAGCCGCAGACAAAGCAAUCUGAAGUGAGCGAUGAUGAAGGUUUGAAAACAGCAGGAAAACCAUUUUUGUUGCGGACCCCAACGGCAAGCAGAUAAAAGGAGCCGGCCCCGCAGCCCAGCCUGUUCAGAAAGCACUUGUGGUCGCCACGCGCGGACACACACGGUGCCGCUUUUCCCACAACAGCAAGCGUUAAAAAAACUAUUUAUAAAGGCAUUCAAAAAUGCGCCGCUGGCCUCGGGGGUGCCGCGGGGAGCCGCCGUGGGGGGAGCAGGGCCUGAGGCAGGGCACGGGUCGGGGGGCAGCACCCGCAGCAACGCGGCUGUGCCCACCUGGGUGCGGGGCUCGGUGAGGGUGGUCCCGCAGCAGCCCGCAGUGCGUGGCACGGAGUUCUCAGUUGUCAUUUUCCGUGCUGCAGGGGGGUUCCGUACCUCCCUCCAAAAACUGACUCUGAAAAUCCUGGGUUUACAGUCUGGGUUUUGGAGAUAAAGUCGUAUUUGUGCAAUUCACUUUGAAACGCCUGUUAUGUGGUUCAUUCUCCACAGAUUCCUGUAUCUCGGCUGCUUGGCCUGAGAUGUGCAUGGGUUUACAGCCUGUCCACUCGGCUCCUUUGUCCUCCUUUUUUAGAAUCUUAUGUAAAUGAUAAAUACCCUUGGCCCAACGUACAUGUAUGUACCCAUAGAACCUCCUUAAAAGCAGACUAAUGUUUUGAGGAUUUACAGAUAACAUUUUAAAAUAGUUGUAUGUACCCUAUACUAUCUAACGAUGGCAUAUAUGAAAUAGUAAUUACCAGAGUAACAAUGCCACAUUCAGCAGUUAGCCCCACAAGCUGCCAACCCCACAGAUUUUUAAAGAAUUUUCGGUGCCUGGAGAUGCAAAUAAUUUGUGAAUGUGAGUUUCAAGCCAUCUUGAAACAAGGUUAGGGAAGGCA
RNAcentral lists this long non-coding RNA (997 nucleotides) under Anas platyrhynchos platyrhynchos (common mallard). RNAcentral's name for it is "lncRNA (ENSAPLG00000024991.1)". Lineage: Eukaryota; Metazoa; Chordata; Aves; Anseriformes; Anatidae. The record is from RNAcentral.